CGGUGGCAUUUAUCCUCAUUCUACUUCUGUGUGAAUCAUUUUGAAAGAGGUUUUUGAAUAAAGCUUUGUGACAUGCUGAUAAAAGCCUAAAAGCAUUAAAAGCUAUGUGACAUGGAGAUGAUGACCUAAGAGUCUAUUCAAAACAAAUCAAGCCAUUUGGCACAAUUCAAGUGUGCUGAAUUCAACAAUUAACAAAUUGUACUUCUCCUCGUCUGACUCCUGAUCAUCAGGCAUCUCUCUUCUGAUGUUGUGUCUGGCACUCUCAGGAGAGGAAAGAGCUCUGUGAUACUCUUUACUGGCUUCUGUCAGUGUGGCUACAUCCCUCCGCGAUGGGGGGCGCUGUUUGAGGGCACCAUUUUGCUAGAGAAAGAGAGGCAAUUGCUACAGAGCUCCAAACUUUAUGUGGCCUUCAGACUAGCUCAAGUACAGUACGCAGAGAGCUUCCUGGAAUGGUUUUCAACCACAGACCAGAUGCAUCCAAGCCAUACAUAACCCAGUGCAAUGCAAAGCACUGGAUGCAGUGAUGUAAAGUAUGCCAUCACUGAACUACAGAGUAGUGGAAACGUGUUCUCGGGAGUGAUGAAUCAUGCUUUUCCAAUCUGAUGGACGAGUCUGGUGUGAAAAUUGGUGGAGGAGGAUUUAUGGUGUGGGGUUGUUUUUUUUUGGAGUCCAGCUCAGUCCCUUAGUUCCAGUGUAAUGAAUUUUGAAUGCUUCAGGAUACAAGAGUUUGGAGCAGGCCCCAUCCUCUUCCAACAUGACUGUGCACCAGUGCACAAAGCAAGGUCCUUAAAGACAUGGGGGACAGUCUGGUAUGGAUUAACUUGACUGGCCUGCACACAGUCCUGGCCUGAAUCCGAUAGAACACCUUUGGGAUAAAUUAGAGCGAAGACUGACAGCCUACAUGACCCACACCAGGAAUUGGAAAAGGGUCGAUAAACAUCUCCCUGAAAUGAGUUUUUGGAACUUGAUGUCAGCAUAUAGCACUUUUAAUCAACUGAAUCUAGGUCUGGCUAAACCUAUUUCCACAAUACAGUGUAUAUGUGAAGUUCAUGUUUCAACUGUGUCACGAAAGAUCCCUAUAGCCUACCGUAUGUUCCCCCCAGCAACAGUUCUUUUUGCUUAUAGUCAACUGGGAAAGGCUGUAGCACCCAGCAAAUUUAAACAGGAUAAUUUACUCUGAAACUGAAAGGAUAGGUGAAUAUUUUUAAAGGCCAUUUUUGAAAAACAAAACCAGGUUGUUUUUUUAUUCAUUUAUUGCUUAUAUAAACACUCUAAACAGUUUUUGGUAAAAAUAAAAUCUAUCAAUAAUUAUCAUAAAUAAAGUAAUCACAAUGACUUUUACAUGGCAUUGUAUUGCACAUUUAUAAGCCUUAACAAGAAUCACAGAACACAAGUGUUGCUCAGAUUUUGUGUAGCAGGAAUGUUCAGAGGUUGAGUUCACACAUUUCAUUGGUCACCUUUCAAAGGCAACUCGUUUGACUUUGCUGCAUUGAAUCAACGUCUACAUAUAAUCAAUUUGAACAUGGACUCGACAAACAACUUUACUUUCAUAACUUGCUUACGCUUUCUGAACUUAAAUCAUAAAUCCUAGCUGGUUGUAAUACAGAUGUGAUGUUUGCUGCUAAUGAUAGAGAAGUGGGUCUCAAUAUUGUCCAUUUGUGUAGUCAUACGUUCUUAUUCAAAUGUUACAUUUUGUAAACUAAGCUAAUUGUUAUCCCUUCCCUUCGCUUGACAGUAUUUUUUUCAUGUCAAAUUUAAAAGUGGAAUCUAUACAAGGACCAACAACUGCUUCGUGUCAAGACUGUCAGUUAUCUUGGUAAUGAUGGGCCAUGUCCACACCAACAUAUCACACCGUUAGCCCCUCAGUUUAUCAUUCUUAAUGACAACAUUCCAAAAACAUACCAGAAAAUCAUUGAAAAUGUCGUUAAGAUGCCAGCUUGUGACUGUCACUAGCAAUAAAAUUACUGUUUUGAUCAUGUUCCCAUUACAAUCAGCUGUGGAAAUGCUACCAUCUGUGCAAAGACCAGUGAAAGUAUAAGACCUGGACGGUAAUUUUAUGUUCAUUGAUGUUGCCAAAGGCUCAUGGCAUGCUCCUCCAACACAACGGUAGGAAGCAUCUUCAAGUUGCCUUUAUGAUUAACAAGAAAAUAAAAAGAUGAAUAAGUGACAAAGCUUCAAAGUUGUCACUGAAUGGUAAAUCCAGACCCUGUUUGUUCCCCAACUCUGGGUAUCUCUUUAUCCCAAAUCUGGCAUUACUCUCUGGAAGAAAAGCAAAAUAUAAAUGUGAAAAAAAUGUCAUCUAAAAUAACAAUUUUGAAUGAAAAAAUGGACUUGUUCACAUAUCAACUUCUGCUCGGAGUUCAGAACACACUUCCUUGAGUAACAUUUCCAUCAAGACCUAAAAAAAAGACAAAAGUGUCGGACUUCAACUGGUUUUGAAAAAAAUUAUAGUAAAAAUAGGAAAGCUUGUGUUCUUACAUAGAGAAGAUGUUUGUUGGCACUAGCUUCCUGCAGGGCAUUGAAGACCUUGAUGACUCCAUAACGGGCAUUCUGUUGGCCAACUAGAUUUGCCAAUGCAUCUGGCAGAGAAAAAGUAACACUUAGGAAAGUAAUCAGUCAUCAAUCAUCUUGCAUUCAGGUUUUAAAAUUUCAACAAUUUGGGAUUGCUGGCUCGGCUCCCCUUUGUGAUGGCUACCUGGAAUAUUUUCAAGUAGUUUUUGUUGAGCUCGUUCCUUUGUUUCAGUGCGCUCGGCAUCAGUUCGUACAUUGACAUGCGGUGCCAGAAUCCCAUUGGGCCAAAAGGUGUCCUUGAAAAUAUUGAUGUAACAGACCAACAUCUGUUCAGAGAAGAUCCAAUUCACUGUAUCCCUGAUCUGUCUGAAUAAGGAAGGACACAAAAGUUCAACCGCAUCUUUGCAAAAUACUUUUUUCCUGUUUCAGAAUUAUAUUUUUUGUUAUUCAUAUCGGUUUUACUUUCGACUUGCACUCACUUGUUGAUCGUUCGUCCAAAUGUCACCUGGACUAGUGCAAUAAGAGUCUUUCUCACCCAUUUAAACACUGUUUAGGUGGAGAGUUAAAUGUUAAUGAAAGUAUUCCGAGGAACAUAGGUUUAAUUUUCCCUUUAAAAUUGAAACAUCUCGAAAAUAAGCAAGUUUGACAACACAAAACCUUAAAAGACGACGAAUUGUAGCUGAAGCAACAUGAAGUGAUACUGGAAGUGUUAUACUCACUUCCUCUGAGUUCAAAUAUUUCUCCAAUGAGCAUAAAGCAGGGUUCAGCUAGAGCAUCUCUUCUCCCGUCUGUCUCAUCUCCGUAAUCUGACAAGUCGCUGUCGUCAUCCGCCUCUUCCUGUAAGCAGAGGUGACAGCACCUUUAGCGUUCGCGGUCCAAUGUUGGCGAAAAAGUCCUGCGUACGUUGGUACCUCAGUGUGAGAAAAGAAGUCCCCAGGAAGUUUCUCCAAGAAGGAGGCCAGAGAGAAAGAAGAUUUCUUCUGAAUGGACAUCACCUUCAAAAAGUCAGGAACACAACUUCAAUGUAUUGUCUCUGUCAUUCAAAACCAGAGGUGGGUAGAGUAGCCAAAAAAUGUGCUCAAGUAAGAGUAGCGUUACUUCAAAAAUGAUAUUACUCAAGUAAAAUAAAGUAGUCAUCCAAAAAAUUUACUCAAGUACAAGUCAAAAAGUACUUGGUAAAAAUAAUACUCAAGUAAUGAGUAGGACUGUGAGUAACUGCUUAUAUUUUUGUUGGAUUUUUUUUUGAUGGCAUUUUUUCCUGGGCUCAAAGUUACCUAUAUGAACUAUUGUUAUAAUGAUAAUGUACAAUAACACAUUACAUAA
Long non-coding RNA from Corythoichthys intestinalis (scribbled pipefish), 3834 nucleotides. RefSeq lists it as uncharacterized. The record is from RefSeq and is a predicted model, not a curated record. NCBI's taxonomy places the organism in Eukaryota, Metazoa, Chordata, Actinopteri, Syngnathiformes, Syngnathidae. The transcript has 3 exons.